CUCGAACUAGGGUCGCUCCUUGAUAAAUUCAUUGGUAUUAGCCUUGCAUGCUAUCCCGGAUUCGAGAUUGGUCAGUUUUGAGAGGCUAGGUUUUCCAAUUAGACCUUCAUUCAAAGAUUCAACCAAUUAGGCUUGAUUCGAGGGAAAGUAUUUGUAGAUUUGCGGAGUGAGGAUGGAGAAGAGUGUAGGGUGUAUUUUUGGAGUUAAUUGGAGGCCGGUCGCGGCAGAGAAAUCAAGGGCGACGCCCUAGGGUUUGGGAAUAGCGGUGGUUUCUAGUGAGGUUUGAGGGAAGUGAAUGGUGAAACGAGUAUGAGGAGGAGGAGAUGAGUCUUUGGUAUAACUUUGGUGGCUAUAGGGGACUUGCCUCCACCGCGAAGCGAUGCGGCUGCAGUGGAUGGUGGCGUUACAUGGGGUAGUCUGA
Molecule: long non-coding RNA, 421 nt
Filed under: Nicotiana benthamiana
Lineage: Eukaryota; Viridiplantae; Streptophyta; Magnoliopsida; Solanales; Solanaceae
Description: long non-coding RNA (NBEN_LNC015419)
Source: RNAcentral